CCUACGGGUGGCAGCAGUGAGGAAUAUUGGGCAAUGGGGGCAACCCUGACCCAGCCAUGCCGCGUGAGUGAAGAAGGUCUUCGGAUUGUAAAGCUCUUUCGGCCGUGACGAUGAUGACGGUAGCUUCCCAAGAAGCACCGGCUAACUUCGUGCCAGCAGCCGCGGUAAUACGAAGGGUGCGAGCGUUGUUCGGAUUUACUGGGCGUAAAGGGAGUGUAGGCGGGUUAGUAAGAGAGCGGUGAAAUGCCGGGGCUCAACCCCGGAACUGCCAUUAUGACUAUGUAUCUAGAGUAAUGGAGAGGAUAGCGGAAUACCCAGUGUAGAGGUGAAAUUCGUAGAUAUUGGGUAGAACACCGGUGGCGAAGGCGGCUAUCUGGACAGUAACUGACGCUGAGGCUCGAAAGCGUGGGGAGCAAACAGGAUUAGAUACCCCGGUAGUC
Molecule: ribosomal RNA, 440 nt
Filed under: uncultured bacterium
Lineage: Bacteria
Description: partial 16S ribosomal RNA
Rfam family: Bacterial small subunit ribosomal RNA
Source: RNAcentral